RNAcentral lists this ribosomal RNA (361 nucleotides) under uncultured bacterium. RNAcentral describes it as "partial 16S ribosomal RNA". It matches the Rfam family "Bacterial small subunit ribosomal RNA", at positions 338 to 696 of the family's 1533-position model. The record is from RNAcentral.
CCUACGGGCGGCAGCAGUGAGGAAUAUUGGUCAAUGGGCGGAAGCCUGAACCAGCCACGUAGCGUGCAGGAUGACGGCCCUACGGGUGGUAAACUGCUUUUAUACGGGAAUACCGCUCCUUACGUGUAGGGCUUUGCAUGUACCGUAUGAAUAAGGACCGGCUAAUUCCGUGCCAGCAGCCGCGGUAAUACGGAAGGUCAGGGCGUUAUCCGGAUUUAUUGGGUUUAAAGGGAGUGUAGGCCGCAUGUCAAGGGUGCUGGGAAAUGUCCGGGCUCAACCCGGGCCUUGCAGCGGGAACUGGUGAGCUUGAGUGCGCGGAAGGCAGGCGGAAUUCGACGUGUAGCGGUGAAAUGCUUAGAUA